GCUAGGACGAACGCUGGCGGCGUGCUUAACACAUGCAAGUCGAGCGAUGAAGCUCCUUCGGGAGUGGAUUAGCGGCGGACGGGUGAGUAACACGUGGGUAACCUGCCUCAUAGAGGGGAAUAGCCUUUCGAAAGGAAGAUUAAUACCGCAUAAGAUUGUAGUACCGCAUGGUACAGCAAUUAAAGGAGUAAUCCGCUAUGAGAUGGACCCGCGUCGCAUUAGCUAGUUGGUGAGGUAACGGCUCACCAAGGCGACGAUGCGUAGCCGACCUGAGAGGGUGAUCGGCCACAUUGGGACUGAGACACGACCCAGACUCCUACGGGAGGCAGCAGUGGGGAAUAUUGCACAAUGGGGGAAACCCUGAUGCGGCAACGCCGCGUGAGUGAUGACGGCCUUCGGGUUGUAAAACUCUGUCUUUGGGGACGAUAAUGACGGUACCCAAGGAGGAAGCCACGGCUAACUACGUGCCAGCCGCGGC
Molecule: ribosomal RNA, 478 nt
Filed under: uncultured bacterium
Lineage: Bacteria
Description: bacterial SSU rRNA
Rfam family: Bacterial small subunit ribosomal RNA
Source: RNAcentral